RNAcentral lists this long non-coding RNA (200 nucleotides) under Brassica napus (rape). Its description in RNAcentral is "long non-coding RNA (BNAP_LNC003367)". The record is from RNAcentral. Lineage: Eukaryota; Viridiplantae; Streptophyta; Magnoliopsida; Brassicales; Brassicaceae.
UCCCAAUACAGAUGCCUUAGAUGCCUUAAUAACUGCCUUGGAUGAUAAUAGUAACUCAAACAAAAAUUCCAACCGUUGAAGUUCUGGUGCCAACAAAUUUUUUUACUAUUUAUGGACGGUAAAGUAUCGUGGAUCUAUGGAGAAACAUGUCACAAAAGAAUCGUGGAUCUUUAUAGAAAACAUCGCUGUGAAUACAAUUU